UAUGAACGCUAGCGGGAGGCUUAAUACAUGCAAGUCGAACGGUAACAGGUGUAGCAAUACGUGCUGACGAGUGGCGCACGGGUGAGGAACACGUACGCAAUCUGCCUCUGACUGGGGGAUAGCUCCGGGAAACUGGGAUUAAUACCCCGUAACAUUACGGAAGGGCAUCCUUCUGUGAUUAAACCUCCGGGGGUCAGAGAUGAGCGUGCGUCUGAUUAGGUAGUUGGUAGGGUAACGGCCUACCAAGCCAACGAUCAGUAGCUGGCGUGAGAGCGCGACCAGCCACACGGGAACUGAGACACGGUCCCGACUCCUACGGGAGGCAGCAGUAGGGAAUAUUGGACAAUGGCUGAAAAGCUGAUCCAGCCAUCCCGCGUGAAGGCAGAAGGUCCUAUGGAUUGUAAACUUCUUUUCUCUGGGAAGAAAAGGCGGGUUUCUACCUGCUCUGACGGUACCAGAGGAAUAAGCACCGGCUAACUCCGUGCCAGCAGCCGCGGUAAUACGGGA
Molecule: ribosomal RNA, 507 nt
Filed under: uncultured bacterium
Lineage: Bacteria
Description: bacterial SSU rRNA
Rfam family: Bacterial small subunit ribosomal RNA
Source: RNAcentral